GGAGCUGAUGGGGAGUCCAGCAGAAUAAAGCUGCCAUGUUGGAGUCUGGGGAUCUGUGUUCUUCCAGGUUUAUUCACCUUCAGCUUCGUCUGCAUGCUUGGAUUCUACCUGUGCUCAGGUAAACCAGCUGGUUGUUGCUGUAAUCCAGAAAGACGGGACGCCAGCCUGAGGACCACCGAGGAAGAGUCGCUGCAUUACUCCAGUCUGAAGCUUCCACACAAGCCCCGCCCCUCUGGCAGGCCAGAGCCCCGACUGGUCGAAGAGAAUGUGACGUACUCAGCAGUGAUGAGUCGCAAGAACCUGAACCAAUCACACAACCACAAAUAGAAAGCCUUUUACUCACUGUUGUUGCACUGAUUUGAAUUUUAGUGUUUGGAUGUUUUGUUGUAAACGAUGAAGUUUGUUCACCUCCGGAGCUGUUUCUCUGGAGGUGAACAACCCCUAAAAUAGUAAUAACAAUGAUAAUAAUAUUCUAAACAUUAAUGGUUAAUUGUGAUUAAUGGAUGUAGUUGAAGUAGACGUCCUCUCACUGACUGUAUGAGCAUAAAUUAUUUAUCUACAUGUGAAUAUAUUAAUAAUAUACAUUAUUAUUGGACAUGUGAUACAGAACAUGACACGGAUACCUUUAAGUGGCUUUUAAUCACCAAAUUGUGCAC
This is a long non-coding RNA of Acanthochromis polyacanthus (spiny chromis), 656 nucleotides long. RefSeq lists it as uncharacterized. The transcript has 3 exons. NCBI's taxonomy places the organism in Eukaryota, Metazoa, Chordata, Actinopteri, Pomacentridae. The record is from RefSeq and is a predicted model, not a curated record.